Molecule: ribosomal RNA, 289 nt
Filed under: uncultured bacterium
Lineage: Bacteria
Description: partial 16S ribosomal RNA
Rfam family: Bacterial small subunit ribosomal RNA
Source: RNAcentral
GUGGAUUAGAUACCCUAGUAGUCCACGCCGUAAACGAUGGAUGCUAGCCGUCGGCAAGCUUGCUUGUCGGUGGCGCAGCUAACGCAUUAAGCAUCCCGCCUGGGGAGUACGGCCGCAAGGUUAAAACUCAAAGGAAUUGACGGGGGCCCGCACAAGCGGUGGAGCAUGUGGUUUAAUUCGACGCAACGCGAAGAACCUUACCAGCCCUUGACAUGUCCGGACGGUUUCCAGAGAUGGAUUCCUCCUAGCAAGAGGUCGGAACACAGGUGCUGCAUGGUGGUCGUCAGCU